AUUGAACGCUGGCGGCAGGCCUAACACAUGCAAGUCGAACGGUAACAGGAAGCAGCUUGCUGCUUUGCUGACGAGUGGCGGACGGGUGAGUAAUGUCUGGGAAACUGCCUGAUGGAGGGGGAUAACUACUGGAAACGGUAGCUAAUACCGCAUAACGUCGCAAGACCAAAGAGGGGGACCUUCGGGCCUCUUGCCAUCGGAUGUGCCCAGAUGGGAUUAGCUAGUAGGUGGGGUAACGGCUCACCUAGGCGACGAUCCCUAGCUGGUCUGAGAGGAGGACCAGCCACACUGGAACUGAGACACGGUCCAGACUCCUACGGGAGGCAGCAGUGGGGAAUAUUGCACAAUGGGCGCAAGCCUGAUGCAGCCAUGCCGCGUGUAUGAAGAAGGCCUUCGGGUUGUAAAGUACUUUCAGCGGGGAGGAAGGGAGUAAAGUUAAUACCUUUGCUCAUUGACGUUACCCGCAGAAGAAGCACCGGCUAACUCCGU
RNAcentral lists this ribosomal RNA (489 nucleotides) under uncultured bacterium. RNAcentral describes it as "partial 16S ribosomal RNA". It matches the Rfam family "Bacterial small subunit ribosomal RNA", at positions 30 to 506 of the family's 1533-position model. The record is from RNAcentral.